GACGAACGCUGGCGGCGUGCCUAAUACAUGCAAGUUGAGCGCUGAAGGUUGGUACUUGUACCAACUGGAUGAGCAGCGAACGGGUGAGUAACGCGUGGGGAAUCUGCCUUUGAGCGGGGGACAACAUUUGGAAACGAAUGCUAAUACCGCAUAAAAACUUUAAACACAAGUUUUAAGUUUGAAAGAUGCAAUUGCAUCACUCAAAGAUGAUCCCGCGUUGUAUUAGCUAGUUGGUGAGGUAAAGGCUCACCAAGGCGAUGAUACAUAGCCGACCUGAGAGGGUGAUCGGCCACAUUGGGACUGAGACACGGCCCAAACUCCUACGGGAGGCAGCAGUAGGGAAUCUUCGGCAAUGGACGAAAGUCUGACCGAGCAACGCCGCGUGAGUGAAGAAGGUUUUCGGAUCGUAAAACUCUGUUGGUAGAGAAGAACGUUGGUGAGAGUGGAAAGCCCAUCAAGUGACGGUAACUACCCAGAAAGGGGCGGCUAACUACGUG
This 497-nucleotide ribosomal RNA is filed under the name uncultured bacterium. Its description in RNAcentral is "partial 16S ribosomal RNA". It matches the Rfam family "Bacterial small subunit ribosomal RNA", at positions 28 to 507 of the family's 1533-position model. The record is from RNAcentral.